AUACCGGGCCUUUUUGGGCUUGGUAAUUGGAAUGAGGGAGAGUUAAACGGACCAUCGAGUAUCCAUUGGAGGGCAAGUCUGGUGCCAGCAGCUGCGGUAAUACCAGCUCCAAUAGCGUAUAUUAAAGUUGUUGCAGUUAAAAAGCUCGUAGUUGGACUUGUGUGCGCUGUCCGCGGGUGGCCUGCGCCCAAAAGGGCGUUUCGGUUCGGCCCCGGUGGCGCCUUGAAAUCUGCAGCUGGGGGGACGUUGGCCUUAACUGGUCGGCGACCGCACGCCGGCUGCUCGGUUACUGUGAGAAAAUUAGAGUGUUCAAGGCAGGCAUUGGGUGCAAUUGAAUACAUUAGCAUGGAAUAAUAAAAUAUGGCUCCUGCCGUAUUUUGUUGGUUUUGACUGGUGGGAGUAAUGAUUGAUAGGGACGGUUGGGGGUGCUAGUAUUGAGCGGCCAGAGGUGAAAUUCAUGGAUUCGCUCAAGACUAACUUAUGCGAAAGCAUUCACCAAGGACGUCCUCUUUAAUCAAGAACGAAAGUUGGGGGAUCGAAGACGAUCAGAUACCGUCGUAGUCUCAACCAUAAACUAUGUCGACUUGGGAUCGGCGGUAGUUUUUUCAUUAAGACACUGUCGGGACCACGGGAGAAAUCAAAGUGUCUGGACUCUGGGGGAAGUAUGGUCGCAAGGCUGAAACUUGAAGGAAUUGACGGAAGGGCACCACCAGGAGUGGAGCCUGCGGCUUAAUUUGACCCAACACGGGGAAACUUACCAGGUCCAGAGAUAUAGAGGAUUGACAGAUUGAAGCUCUUUCUUGAUCACUUCGGUGGUGGUGCAUGGCCGUUCUUAGUUGGUGGAGUGAUUUGUCUGGUUAAUUCCGUUAACGAACGAGACCUCAGCCUGCUAGUGUAGUCGGCUGGAUUGCCUUUGGCGAUCCGUGAUUUCGACUUCUUAGAGGGACAAUCGACGCGCAGUCGAUGGAAGUUUGAGGCAAUAACAGGUCUGUGAUGCCCUUAGAUGUUCUGGGCCGCACGCGCGCUACACUGCUGGGCUCAGCGAGUUUUACUUGGCCGAGAGGCCCGGUUAAUCUUGUGAAAUCCCAGCGUGCUUGGGCUCGCCUCCUGCAACUGGAGGCGCCAACGAGGAAUUCCUAGUAGACGCAGGUCAUCAACCUGCAUCGAUUACGUCCCUGCCCUUUGUACACACCGCCCGUCGUUCCAUAAGAGUGAGGCAUCCGGUGAAUUCUCGGGAGAGCCUGGGCGUGGCCAGCAAUGGUCUGCUCGGGUUUGAACUUGCAUAAACUUGGUGCCUAUGAUUAGGG
This 1307-nucleotide ribosomal RNA is filed under the name metagenome. RNAcentral's name for it is "SSU rRNA". It matches the Rfam family "Eukaryotic small subunit ribosomal RNA", at positions 483 to 1783 of the family's 1831-position model. The record is from RNAcentral.